This 497-nucleotide ribosomal RNA is filed under the name uncultured bacterium. RNAcentral's name for it is "partial 16S ribosomal RNA". It matches the Rfam family "Bacterial small subunit ribosomal RNA", at positions 28 to 507 of the family's 1533-position model. The record is from RNAcentral.
GACGAACGCUGGCGGCGUGCCUAAUACAUGCAAGUAGAACGCUGAAGAGAGGAGCUUGCUCUUCUUGGAUGAGUUGCGAACGGGUGAGUAACGCGUAGGUAACCUGCCUUGUAGCGGGGGAUAACUAUUGGAAACGAUAGCUAAUACCGCAUAACAAUGGUUGACCCAUGUCAUUUAUUUGAAAGGGGCAAAUGCUCCACUACAAGAUGGACCUGCGUUGUAUUAGCUAGUAGGUGAGGUAACGGCUCACCUAGGCGACGAUACAUAGCCGACCUGAGAGGGUGAUCGGCCACACUGGGACUGAGACACGGCCCAGACUCCUACGGGAGGCAGCAGUAGGGAAUCUUCGGCAAUGGGGGCAAGCCUGACCGAGCAACGCCGCGUGAGUGAAGAAGGUUUUCGGAUCGUAAAGCUCUGUUGUAAGUCAAGAACGAGUGUGAGAGUGGAAAGUUCACAAUGUGACGGUAGCUUACCAGAAAGGGACGGCUAACUACGUG